Molecule: long non-coding RNA, 7691 nt
Filed under: Daucus carota (carrot)
Lineage: Eukaryota; Viridiplantae; Streptophyta; Magnoliopsida; Apiales; Apiaceae
Description: long non-coding RNA (DCAR_LNC006587)
Source: RNAcentral
GAGUACAAAAGGAAUAGAUAAAAACACAACCUGCUUAUCCAAAACAGAGGCGGUGCAAACAGAUCGGGGGAAAAGCUAUCUAGGGUUUUCAGAAAUUGGGGAUUAGGGUUUCCAAAUCUUUUUAUCUUUUUCUUCUCUCUUCUAAUCAUACUGGGAAGAGAUUAAUUUCGUGUAUAUGUGAUUUGUACUUGUUGUAUAUUGUGGUUCGAGUUAUGGUGGCGAUGGGAUCGGUUGGUUUACAAGGCGGCGCGACGGCGCCAAGGAGAAGGGAACAGAGGCCGGCAGCUGGAGGUGAUUGGAGGUGUGAUGGUCGGGAUUCGCAGAUAGCAAGAGGGAGGUUGGGCUGUUUGUUUUGGGUAUUGAUUGGGUUGGCCAGAGUCAAUGUAUCGCCGGAGUGGUGGAGUUGACAAGGGUGAUUGAGAUGGUGCUGGGUUUGUAUAUGUGUAUAUGUAUAAGUUGGUGGGUUUGAUUUGUGGCGGCUGAAAGGAAACAGCAAGGGAGAGGGGCUGUUUCAGGGUACUUUUGGUGCGAAUUUGAACCAGAAGGUGGUGCUGCAGUGGUAGCUCUAUCGGGUCGGCGUGAGUGUGCAGCCAGGGGAAAGGAAAACAGAAGGACUGUGGUUGUGUUCUGUAGUGGUGCCGGGGUUGAAGAAGGAUAAUAGGCGUCGUGUCGAGAUGUUGAAAAGGUAUGGUGAUUGUUGAAGGUUGCAGCAGUGAUUGGGAAAUUGUUGCAGGGAUGUUCGGCUGGUGAGUUAUGCGAGGGAGUCGGGAAUUGUGAGAGACUGGUGGGGUUUGCUGUUUUGUUGUUUUUGUGGGGUGUGCAUAUAUACAUGUAUUGUUGUUUAGUUGCUCAGUUUGGGGGAAAGAAUUGAACGGAGGCAGAGCCGCGUUGUGCAUGCUGUAGGAGAUAGAAUUGGUAAGGCCGUGACUAGGACUUGAAUGGAAGCAGGGCUUCAGUUGGUGGCUGGAGUCUCGACACUAGUUGUGGGAUGUGAGUGUUGUGAUGUGUUGGUAGAAAAUGGAGAGUCGCACAGAGGUUUGUAAGGGAGGGCGAAGAAGGAACGAGACAGGAGACAUUAGAGAAAGUUGAGGACAAAGAAGGGUGGGAGGAGUUGGUUAGUUGAUUUUAGGAGAAGAACAGAAAGGAUACAGGAGUUUAAUUGGCCAGUCACCAAGGUCCAGUAGUUGAGCUUUAACCGAAGUUAUUAUACAGUGCUAGGAUGGAGUCUGAGAUGCAGAGAUUGGAGUGAGUAGAGAAAGAUGGGAGAAAAAGAGUUGUGUUGAUGGCGGCAUCCCGUGGUUCGGAUGGCACUUUUGAAACUUUUCGGAAAUUAGAAAUGGAAUAAAAUAUCGAUUAACUGUUAAUUAUUAAUUAUUAUAAUGAUUAUUAAUAUUAUUAUUAUUAUCAAUUUUUUUGAUGAUAAUAAUGAUGUUUAAUAAUUUUCAUAUUAUUAAUAAUCAAUAAUUGAUUAAUGUAAAUUACAAUUUUAUAUUUUGACCCUUACGAUUGAAGGUCGUUGAUAAGUUUCAAAUUAUGUGAAUUAUAGUGGAAUUUGAUGUUGCUAUGAAUAAUGCUACGUGAUGAUAUCGAGUAGGUGCCAUAUUUUAGAGUGCAUCUAGAAUUAUAUUCGAAUAGUUGGAAUAUAAUUGGAUAUGCAAAUUGUAUUAUUAUUAUUAAGAUAAUACGUGUUAAUUGUCAUAACUCUGAUUAUUGUUAUAGAUUCUAUUUAAACUCCGGAGACAUUUAUUUAAAUCCAAAAAUUGAUUUUAAGUCCGGAUGGAAUCUAUUUAUGAGCAUAUUAUUUGGACAAUAAUUGCUGUGUUAUUGAUUUGGGAAUUGCUCAAUUUUAAAAUACAUGAUGUCCAAAAUUAUAUUAUAUUAUUAAAUUAGUUUGAUGAGAUUCCGAGUUGAUUUGAGAUAUGAUUGAAUUAUAGUUGGACUUGUAAUUCGGAUUUGGAUUAUUUCCAGGGAAUAUUCUUGAUGUGGUAGUUGUUUGUAUAUAAUCAGACAUGAGAUUAUAUAUAAAUAUCAUUGGAUUAUAUAUUAAUAUUAAUAUAAAUAUUAAAGCAUGUGAAUUAUAUGCUACGUGUUGACGUGAUUACUUCUUUAACUAUCUGAUGUUAUGUGUAUAUUAUUUGUAUAUAAUAUAUAUUUAUAUGACGAAAGGUAGUAAUAUAAUUUCGAUUCUGCGAAUUGACAACCUUAUGGAUUGCUCUCGACUGAAAUAUUAUACUGCUGUUAUAUAUAGUCUCUCGAGACGCGUGCAUCAACGAUUUUCAGAAGCAAGCAAAUAGCAUGGCAAGGCAAGUCAGAAAUAUUUUGAUAAGGCAAUAUUGUGCCGUAAGAUAGUCCAAUAGAUUAUAGUCAUUUCCAAUCUAGGAAUCUCGAGUAGGUGACUGUGUGUCACCUGUUUCUAUCAAAGGCAAGUAAUUCUAUUCUUCUCUUAUUUAUUUAAAGAAAAUGCUUCUAUUCCACAACUUUUAAUUAUUGUCAAUGCAACUAUUAUAUUCUGUAUUUCAAUUCAUAGAAUAUCAUAUGCUUGGAAUAUAAUUAUUGUUUGGUAUUCCAUUAUAAGAUACACCAUAGAGAUACUCAAAUAAUGAUUGAAUUCACUACAUUCCAAUGAUUGAAUUCACUACAUUCUAGUAAUCAUUCUACUAAAAUCCUCGAAUUAAUUUCAAGAUAGAUAGUGAGAAGCUAUUCUAUCCAGAUAUAGUCCAUACAGUAUAAAUUCGAGUUCAUAAUAAGCAUAUAACUAGUUAUUCUAGUUGUGUUGCCAUCAAUUGUUGGGAUUACUCCGGACCAUGUGAAAUGGCGAGUUUGUUGAAUGAGAGAGUUGAUUGAUUCAACUCCCCAAAAAAACAUUUUUGCGUAAGAGGCCGGGACGGUGGUCCAGUGAAGGGCUAUUUGGGUAUUACUGAAAUAUGAUAAUACUUUCCUGCCAAAGGCCAAUGUGUUGCCUUAUAUUGGUACCUGUGAAUUAGGACAUGCUUCUACGAAGUGUGAUCCCAUGCUAUCCCACGAACUGAUCAGCUGUGAUAAUGCUCCCGUCAGUGGAGAUUCCAAUCAAAAUUUAUGAUUUGCUUACUUAAGCUGAUAUUGCUUUUGUUUUCCAUUGGAUACUAUUGUUUCUUAUCUCUUUCCUUCCAGAAAGAUAGCACUUAUUAAUGCUUUACAUUUAAGCAUUUUAUAUAUAUAUAUAUUGCUGAGGCUUCUAGUUGCUCAUUCUUGCUUUGUCGUUGCUGUGCUAAUCUUUGAGUUACAACUGUUAUGAUUUACUUCAAAAGUUUGCUUUAUUUCAAAUACUCAGAUUUCAUUCCAAAGAAAUUAUAUCUUGUGGCUCUUUCCUUUCUUAUUAUCUCGCUGAGCAUUUUCGCUCACUCUUGCUAUUAUUUCUAACCCUUUCAGCUAGGGAUUUAGAUGUCACCUGUAUAAGCUGCGCGUAAGAUUGAUGCUAGGCGAGAUUGCCAGGGAGAUGUUUACAAGAGUAGUUCUGGUUAGAAUUGAUUUAUUUCAGUUCAGUUGUAUAAUAGAUUUAUUUAUUUGGUUAUCAAUUACUCUUCUUAUCGAGGUUUAACUGAUAAUGUUGUUUAAGUUGUAAUAAGAUUGUAAGUUUUGAUUUCUGAUUUCAGUGCUGUAGCCUAUUAGCGAUCCUGUUUUUAGGGGGUCAAAAUGAUUUUGAUUUAAAUCUCUUUUAAAAUUUCCAGAUUUUCAAAUAUCUGUUUUACCUUCUUCCGUAAAUACAGGUUUUUAAAUGAUUUUGUUUUAGUGGCACCAAAUCCAGACUCCCGGAUUUUGGGGAUGUCACAGUUGGUAUCAGAGCUAUAGGUUAUAAGUUAUUGAAAUCAGAAUGUAGAUUGUGAUAGGAUUGUGUUUAGUGGAACCUCAUAUAGAGGUAAGUCGAGACUAUUGGGUAUCGUCUUUUUCGAUUAGAUUGAUAUUGGAACAUUGAUUUUAAGUAAUCAUUUGGGAUAUCCUAGUUUCUAGUUCUGGAACUAGUGAGUUUGGAUUUCAGGAAAACAUGACAGAAUCUUUAGUUUCCAAUCUUUUUGAACUUGAGGUUGACUUUUUGAGUAACCAAUGUCAGCUAGACUCGUGGGUAAACCUGUCUAGUUUAGAAUGUUUCUUUUCAUCUCUACCACUUCCUGAGUAUUGGUAGAGGGUCAUUUAUUGAUUUUCUAGAGAUAGAUAUAGAAUGAGUAUGAGAUUGUUGGUCAGAGUGAGAAUCUAGGGGUAUAGUUCUCGAUUUGACAGCUUAGAUAGAUUUUGCAUUAGACUGCUCGAUAUAGUAUUAUGAAUAGGCUCGAACGUCAACGCUAUACAAUGCUGAUUGUAUAAAGUUGAAGAUGGCUUAUGACCAUGCCAAGGUGGAUAGGACUUUUUCACUGAAGCGGAUAAUGGUGAUGAAAUCUUUAAAGUCGAAUAUGAAUCAGCCAGAAUAUUAGAAAAUCGAGAAGAAUCGCUAGAAUCGAAACGAUCCAUCAGAAGAAUCAAUUGAGAAGACAUCUGUGAUGAUCUUGGCAAUACCUUCCUCAUAUCGUUGAUUAUAUUGAUUAUUUUCUCAAUCAAUAAUUUGUUUUAACAUCUCUUUUAUAAAGAUGUUUAUUAAAUAGCGUAUACUCUCUUUUUGAGUAAAAUCGCUAUACUUGUGUUUGCCCGUAUUUUGGGUUUAAAUUGUGACAGAGGCUAAUAUGAUACCUAUUUUUAGGUUAUGGAAGCCUGUCGAGUUUGUGAAAAUUUAUUUCUACUCUCUUAUUUCUUCUCAAAAUGGUGAAUGAGUCUAUUUCAAUAUAUCACCAUUUACUCGUUGUGUAUAAAUAUCCUUUCUGGUUAUGCUUUUUCUCUGGAAUAACACCUUUGGAUAUUAUUCAAUUUUGAUCCAAGAUGUGCAUCAUAUUUUAAUUCAUCAGAGGACAAUGAUCAUUUAUUUGAUUCCGAAAUUCCUUUCAUGUUUAUCUCCUCUAACUGAGAUGAACAACCCUAGUCAUAAGGGACACAAGGACUAUUUGUCUGUGUGAUAGAAGUCUGAUGGGACACCAUCACUUGUGUGUUGUGCAUUACAAGAAGGCUAAUUACCUAUAGUAGUAUCUUCAAUGGAUACGCAACAUAGUUCUCUAGAUCAUAUUGAUCUCUCAGCAUUUCUCUAUUUCAUAUCAGUUUCCUUUCGAAACUCAUACCUAUGAAAAUUGCUUUAAUAACUUAUAUCUGAUAUAUUUUAAGAUUCGAUAAUUCUUAUGUGUCAAUCAAUUCUGAGGGCAUUCCAGUCAAGUUUGAACGACCUAAUACUGCCAGUACACUUCAAGAUUUCGUAUACAAAAGCAAAUCACGAUGCGAAUUGCAAGAAAAUGUAUGCUCUCGUUCUCUCUUCGCGGAUUCCGAGGACGGAAUCCUUAUAAGGGGGAAGUCUGUGACGACUCGGAUAUUUUUGAUAUUAUUUAUUAGUUGCUAUUAAUUUUAUAAAAGAGCAGGAAUAGAAUCUUAUAUUUUAUUCCAAUUUGUUGGACUUUCAAAAACAAUUUUUUGAGUUGCUGCAAUUAUGUGAUUAUUUGAUUUAAUCGUGGUACAUGUUAAAUGAGCAAUUUUAAUUGUUUACUUUCUUAUACGAGUAGGUUGUAUAGAAUUUUGAUUUAUUUAUUAUUUUUAUAAAUCAAAAUUGUCUUUCAUUUUUAAAAAUCUAAACUUGGUUUUAUUUGAGCCCAAAAUAUUUUAACCGAUUUAAAUUACCAAAAUAUUCAAAUUUUGGUAUUUUUAUAUUUUCUGUCGGAUUCAAAAAUAUUUUAAAUUUUGCCAAUGAUUAUUUUAAUUGUUUGUAGUUUAAAGAUGAUUUUGAGUAUUAUUUGUGAAAAUAGAGAAAAAAUUUUAAAAUAUUAUUUUUACAAAUAUUGUGUAUUCAAGAUUAUAUAUAUAUAUAUAUAUAUAUAUAUAUAUAUAUAUUUUAUUAUUAAAUUUGGGAAUAUAUUAAAAUCUCAAAUUGUUAAAAAGCUUUUAUUAAAAUGUGUGAGUAUGAUUUAGUACACGUGAUGUCUACACGGACCCUGCGUAUUAUUUAGUUUUUAUACUUAUAACAAAAGAAAGCAGAGGACUCGGUAUAAAAACAGAGUACAAAAGGAAUAGAUAAAAACACAACCUGCUUAUUCAAAAUAGAGGCGGUGCAAACAGAUCGGGGGAAAAGCAAUCUAGGGUUUUCAGAAAUUGGGGAUUAGGGUUUCCAAAUCUUUUUAUCUUUUUCUUCUCUCUUCUAAUCAUACUGGGAAGAGAUUAAUUUCAUGUAUAUGUGAUUUGUACUUAUUGUAUAUUGUGGUUCGAGUUAUGGUGGCGAUGGGAUCGGUUGGUUUACAAGGCGGCGCGACGGCGACAAGGAAAGGGGAACAGAGGCCGGCAGCUGGAGGUGAUUGGAGGUGUGAUGGUCGGGAUUCGCAGAUAGCAAGAGGGAGGUUGGGCUGUUUGUUUUGGGUAUUGAUUGGGUUGGCCGGAGUCAAUGUAUCGCCGGAGUGGUGGAGUUGACAAGGGUGAUUGAGAUGGUGCUGGGUUUGUAUAUGUGUAUAUGUAUAAGUUGGUGGGUUUGAUUUGUGGCGGCUGAAAGGAAACAGCAAGGGAGAGGGGCUGUUUCAGGGUACUUUUGGUGCGAAUUUGAACCAGAAGGUGGUGCUGCAGUGGUAGCUCUAUCGGGUCGGCGUGAGUGUGCAGCCAGGGGAAAGGAAAACAGAAGGACUGUGGUUGUGUUCAGUAGUGGUGCCGGGGUUGAAGAAGGAUAAUAGGCGUCGUGUCGAGAUGUUGAAAAGGUAUGGUGAUUGUUGGAGGUUGCAGCAGGGUUUGGGAAAUUGUUGCGGGGAUGUUCGGCUGGUGAGUUAUGCGAGGGAGUCGGGAAUUGUGAGAGACUGGUGGGGUUUGAUGUUUUGUUGUUUUUGUGGGGUGUGCAUAUAUACAUGUAUUGUUGUUUAGUUGCUCAGUUUGGGGGAAAGAACUGAACGGAGGCAGGGCCGCGUUGUGCAGGCUGUAGGAGAUAGAAUUGGUAAGGUCGUGACUAGGACUUGAAUGGAAGCAGGGCUUCAGUUGGUGGCUGGAGUCUCGACACUACUUGUGGGAUGUGAGUGUUGUGAUGUGUUGGUAGAAAAUAGAGAUUCGCACAGAGGUUUGUAAGGGAGGGCGAAGAAAGAACGAGACAGGAGACAUUAGAGAAAGUUGAGGACAAAGAAGGGUGGGAGGAGUUGGUUAGUUGAUUUUAGGAGAAGAACAGAAAGGAUAUAGGAGUUUAAUUGGCCAGUCACCAAGGUCCAGUAGUUGAGCUUUAACCGAAGUUAUUAUACAGUGCUAGGAUGUAGUCUGAGAUGCAGAGAUUGGAGUGAGUAGAGAAAGAUGGGAGAAAAAGAGUUGUGUUGAUGGCGGCAUCCCGAGGUUCGGAUGGGACUUUUGAAACUUUUCGGAAAUUAGAAAUGGAAUAAAAUAUCGAUUAACUGUUAAUUAUUAAUUAUUAUUAUGAUUAUUAAUAUUAUUAUUAUUAUCAAUUCUUUUGAUGAUAAUAAUGAUGUUUAAUAAUUUUCAUAUUAUUAAUAAUCAAUAAUUGAUUAAUGUAAAUUCCAAUUUUAUAUUUUGACCCUUACGAUUGAAGGUCGUUGAUAAGUUUCAAAUUAUGUGAAUUAUAGUGGAAUUUGAUGUUGCUAUGAAUAAUGCUACGUGAUGAUAUCGAGUAG